UUUAAAACUAAUAUAUUUUAUUCAACAAAUAAAAGCAUCUGAAUACAGAUUUGGAUCAUCUUCAAGCAAGUUCAGAUCACUGUCUAAGAAAUGCUUGUAGAUAAUAUAGUGUAUAAACAUUAAAAAAAAAAAAAUAUUUGUUCAUCUGAAUCUGAACUAAGCUUUUUCACUGCAAAAUAACAGCAUCAGUAUAUAAUGGGGGAAAAUACUGACAAGUUUGGUUUGUAUUGAUCUGCAACAAGCAAAUUCAAAUCACUGCCUGAGAUAUGCUUGUAAAAAUCAUGUUGUAUAACAUUAAUAAAAAAGUUUCUGCUGAACAUGGAUUUGAACACAUUUUCUGCUUCUAUACAGACAAACACACUCAGUCAAACUGCACAUUGGAAUAGUUAAUAUUUCAUAAGCAUGGAUUUGCAUAUAUACAUAUUAGUUCAUUUUCUAAGCUUACAAAUGUAUUAAUAUAAACAGAAAUAAAUGGAGAUUGUGUCUAUGGGACACAGAUCCCCCUGCAUAUUGAAAGUCCUAUCCACAGACAUAAAUCAUGACACAGAAUUUGGUGAAUAAAUUUUAUGCUUAUCUUUCUAAAUGUAUAAAUAUUAUUAAGGAUUUAUAUUCACCAAGUAAAAUAGUAAACAGUAUCAAUGUGUAGUUAAAAAAAAUGAAUUUAGGAUGUACUUCUAUGAAAUAAAAAAAAUUUAGAAUUUAAAAAUUGAUACUACAAGAGCAUAAAUUGAGGAAUAAAAUAAUUAUAUGCCCAUAAUUAUUAAUUAUAAAUUCUGAUGGGGGAAAAGGCUGACUCUGACUUUUAACUCAUAUUUGUUUUUGUAUUAUUUGCGUCUCAAAUCAUAAGAAAAGAAAUCUAGAAUCUUCUUAAAUUUUGGUAAAGGACCUUUUAUGAGCUAUAGAAGUCAAAAAUGAAAUGAAAAAUGGAUUAUAGGUAAACAUAGCAGGACAAAAACAAGAAGUCUAAACAUCUGACAAAUAUUCCUAAACCUGAACCAAGUACAUCCUUAAAAUAGUUUUUAAUGGUAAAUCUUUUAAUUCACUAGAGUUAUCUCUCUUUGGGUAAUAUUUUUCAUUUUCGUGUUUAUUUUAAAAAUACCUUGUAUCAUAAAAAUAUAUACAAAUUUAAUUCUUAUCAUCAGUACAUAUUCAAAAACAGUGAUAAAUUCACUAUUUUAUUCUAUUCUUUGUUCUAUGUAAAAUUCUGCCCUUUUUUGAUCAGGAGAGAACAUAACAUUUCUAAAUCUUGAAAAUUCACUCAUAUCAACUUACUUAUAAAUUUAACUAAGCAUUCAUACAUAUCACACAAUAACAGACAAUAAAUCAAAUGUAUAUAGAUAAGACUAGUACACACAGGCACAUAACAAGUACAAAUCACUGUUUGUGACCUGUUAAAAUAUGUCAAAAAAUUAAAUAAUAAAUAAAACUUGAUUGGCAAUAUGAUUAAACAAUAACAGUUUAUAUAUGUAUACAGAUCAAACAAAGUUACUGAGAUUUUAGUCCCUUUUUGUUAAAAGAAAGUCUACCUUUGACAAUUGUAACUCAUAAUAAUUAUAUUUGGCAACAAAAAGCCCAUAAAAAUACAUUUGAACAAUUCUUUUCAUCAGUUAGUAAAAUUGUUUACCUUUGACAAUUCUAACUUAUAGUAAUCACAUUUGGCACCAAAAACCAACAAAAUACACUUGAACAAUUGUUUCCAUCAAUUUGGAAAAUUAAGUGCAGAUUUUCAUUUCCAUUGACAAAUUUUUACUAUAUUUGGAUAUUGGGCUAUCAAAAUCAAAGUCUGUAAAGAAAAGAAAAAAAGUAUUUGCUCGAUACAGUAUUUGUGGGGAAAAUCUGAGACCUGAGAAAUUAUUAGUAAGUGGCUUAAAAGAUAACAAUUCUAGCUACUAAAACUAACCAUUUGUUGUAUAGCUGAAAAUUGUGACAACUUAUGAGUACAAGCUUGCUAAAACAUAUAUCGUAAAACGUUUUCUUCAAUCUAAAACAAAUUUAAAUACUAUAUCUGAACUCACAAAAGGAUACCACAACUAUGUAAAGUUUCAUCUAUAUCCAUAAAUAUAAAAAAGAAGAUGUGGUAUGAUUGCCAAUAUGACAACUCUCCACAAGGGACCAAAUGACACAGAAAUUAACGCCUUUUAGAAGCAGUUGUGCUUAUAGGGCCAGACAAAGUCAUUCUCUCUUUGCAUGGGUAUAACUAUUUCAUCUGGAGCAAAUACCAGAAAUUGGUAAGCAACUCUCAAAAAUGCAUUACAUUACAAAACUUAAUAACAAAGUGUUGAUUCUGAACAAGUACAGAACGUGUCUAGUCAUUUCUUCAGAAAUCUCAAGCUUAAAAGCAACAUUUUCUGCUGCCAAAAAAUUAAAUCGAGCAAUAACAAAUAAACAAACUUAAUAAAAUAAAAACAAUCCUAAUGAAAUCAAAGGAAAAAAUAUUUAAAUGAUUGAGACUGUUUUUAUGAUUAUCAAAUUCAAACUCACAAUUUUUUGUCAAAAUCUAACUUUGACCUGUUCAACAAAGUAAAAUUCUAAACUAUUUUUUUA
Molecule: long non-coding RNA, 2544 nt
Filed under: Mytilus galloprovincialis (Mediterranean mussel)
Lineage: Eukaryota; Metazoa; Mollusca; Bivalvia; Mytilida; Mytilidae
Source: RNAcentral